This is a non-coding RNA of Ophiophagus hannah (king cobra), 26 nucleotides long. The record is from Rfam. NCBI's taxonomy places the organism in Eukaryota, Metazoa, Chordata, Lepidosauria, Squamata, Elapidae.
UAAACGGUCCUUUUCAGGACCACAAA